This 436-nucleotide ribosomal RNA is filed under the name Catoplatus carthusianus. RNAcentral's name for it is "partial 16S ribosomal RNA". Lineage: Eukaryota; Metazoa; Arthropoda; Insecta; Hemiptera; Tingidae. The record is from RNAcentral.
UUCUUUAUUUUUUUUAAUAUAAAGUAUAGCCUGCCCUAUGAAUUUUUAAAUGGCCGCGAUAUUUAUCGUGCUAAGGUAGCAUAAUAAUUUGUCCUUUAAUUGAGGUCUGGUAUGAAGGGUUUAACGAGGAAUUAACUAUUUUAAUUAAAUUUUUUUGAAUUUUAUUUUUUGGUUAAAAAGCUAAAAUUUAUUUAUGGGACGAUAAGACCCUAUAGAAUUUUAUUAUAAUAAUUAUUUUAUUAAUUGGUUAUUUUUGUAAUAAAUAUAAUAUUUAUAAUUUGGUUGGGGUGAUUGUUAUAUAUAAAUAACUAUAAUUUAAAUAAAUUCAUUAAUGUAUGAUUUAUUGAUCCUUAGAUUUUGGAUUAUAAGAAUAAAUUACCUUAGGGAUAACAGCGUUAUUUUCUUGGAGAGUUCUUAUCUAUAAGAAAGUUUGCGA